CAGUCGUUAAAAAGUUUUACACGGUUUAGUUAUUUUUUACGUUUUAUAAGUGGAGUAUUAUACGAAUAACGUAUAAAACGUUUUAUAUGCGUAUAUUACCAACCCUACUAAAAACAUUAGCGUCGUACACUUUCUCAUUUUGUCUAAGUUUAUUUCUAAUUAUUAGGGCAACUACACAGAAAAUCAAAAAAAAAAUUUCAGUAAUACACAAAAUAGAUAGCUAAUGUUAUAAAAAAAGCUCGUUUGUUUUUUUUUUUAUUUGGAGUGAAAUUUCUGGUAGAAAAG
Non-coding RNA from Cinara cedri, 285 nucleotides. The record is from the annotation of a GenBank genome assembly. NCBI's taxonomy places the organism in Eukaryota, Metazoa, Arthropoda, Insecta, Hemiptera, Aphididae.